UAACGAAUAUUCCACAAUGCGCGAAAGCGUGAUGGAGCAAUGCCGCGUGAAGGAUGAAGCAUCUAGGUGUGUAAACUUCUGUCAGGGUUUAGGAAUCCAUGACCAGACCCAAAGGAAGCGCCGGCUAACUCUGUGCCAGCAGCCGCGGUAAUACAGAGGGCUCGAGCGUUAUUCGGAAUCACUGGGCUUAAAGGGUGCGUAGGCGGACGGGUAAGUAUCUUGUGAAAUCCCACGGCUCAACCCUGGAAUUGCUUGGUAGACUGCCCGUCUUGAGCCCGACAGGGGUCUUCAGAACGCUAGGUGUAGCGGUGAAAUGCGUAGAUAUCUAGCGGAAUGCCAAAGGUGAAGACAGACGACUGGGUCGGCGCUGACGCUGAGGCACGAAAGCGUGGGGAGCAAACAGGAUUAGAUACCCCCGUAGUCC
RNAcentral lists this ribosomal RNA (424 nucleotides) under uncultured prokaryote. RNAcentral's name for it is "bacterial SSU rRNA". It matches the Rfam family "Bacterial small subunit ribosomal RNA", at positions 355 to 796 of the family's 1533-position model. The record is from RNAcentral.